AUACGGAGGGUGCAAGCGUUAAUCGGAAUUACUGGGCGUAAAGCGCGCGUAGGCGGUUAUUUAAGUCGGAUGUGAAAGCCCCGGGCUCAACCUGGGAAUUGCAUUCGAUACUGGGUGACUAGAGUAUGAGAGAGGGAGGUAGAAUUCCAUGUGUAGCGGUGAAAUGCGUAGAUAUGUGGAGGAAUACCAGUGGCGAAGGCGGCCUCCUGGCUCAAUACUGACGCUAAGGUGCGAAAGCGUGGGGAGCAAACAGGAUUAGAAACCCCGGUAGUCC
This 274-nucleotide ribosomal RNA is filed under the name uncultured bacterium. Its description in RNAcentral is "partial 16S ribosomal RNA". It matches the Rfam family "Bacterial small subunit ribosomal RNA", at positions 523 to 796 of the family's 1533-position model. The record is from RNAcentral.